GAUGAACGCUGGCGGCGUGCCUAAUACAUGCAAGUCGAGCGACCAGACGAGGAGCUUGCUCCUCUGACGUUAGCGGCGGAUGGGUGAGUAACACGUGGAUAACCUACCUAUAAGACUGGGAUAACUUCGGGAAACCUGAGCUAAUAUCGGAUCAUAUAUUGAACGGCAUGGUUCAAUAGUGAAAGACGGUUUUGCUGUCACUUAUAGAUGGAUCCGCGCCGCAUUAGCUAGUUGGUAAGGUAACGGCUUACCAAGGCGACGAUGCGUAGCCGACCUGAGAGGAUGAUCAGCCACACUGGAACUGAGACACGGUCCAGACUCCUACGGGAGGCAGCAGUAGGGAAUCUUCCACAAUGGGCGAAAGCCUGACGGAGCAACGCCGCGUGAGUGAUGAAGGUCUUCGGAUCGUAAAACUCUGUUAUUAGGAAAGAACAAAUGUGUAAGUAACUAUGCACGUCUUGACGGUACCUAAUCAAAAAGCCACGGCUAACUACGUG
This 497-nucleotide ribosomal RNA is filed under the name uncultured bacterium. RNAcentral describes it as "partial 16S ribosomal RNA". It matches the Rfam family "Bacterial small subunit ribosomal RNA", at positions 28 to 507 of the family's 1533-position model. The record is from RNAcentral.